UUUCUUUCUCGACUCUUACUCGGUGUAUCCGUCGAAAGCGAAUUCGACGAGCCUGAUUUUUCUGACGGCGUUUCACCGCGAUUUGAGGUUCUUCCGGCGGCAUCUGGGUCCUCUGGCAUCAGAGUAUCGGUAAUCAAGAACGGCGACGCAGGACGAUGCCGAUCAGCUACACCAACAGCAGUACCUCGGUAGCAAGCUACGACAGCGGAUGUGCUAAAGCCGAUGGGAAUUUUGGGAUUCCUCAGCGAUGUUACUGUGGCUGAAACAUCAUCAUUGAAGAGUCCACAGCUCCUGCAACAAUGGGAGGAAGUUUUACACAUGUCCUACAAUCUUGGGAGAGGAUAGUCCAGAUCACAUUUGGAAAUGGUGGGAUGAAGCUGUUGAAGAAAAUUUUACAAUUCUACAAAUCAGGAUUGAUCAAGUGAGUGGAAGGAUUGACCCCUUCCAUAGGACUGAGCUGCUGCAGUCAUAUGAGAAUCGGAUGUACAUCAUGGAGCCUCUGAUCGAUAGAAACACUGAUGAUAUAGGAGAAUUGAAGGAAGUAGUGGUGGAGAUUCAACAAAAGGUGGCUCGGAUGAAAGAAGCAAUGAAGUUGAGAGGUUCUGACUUUCUCCUUAUCCUGUUUAUGGUAAUUUUUGGUGCUAUCUCUUUUCUCUUUAUGUGUUGGGAAUUAGUCUAGAAGACUAAUCAACUUUGUAAUCGUAGAAACUGGUUUAGGAACUUGGAUUGUUGUUUGUUGUUUUUUAAGAACUUGAUUGAUAGUUGCUCAUUGAUUGUUCUAGUUUGAGAACUUCAAUCCUCAAGUCUGUAAUCCUUUCUUUUUAAGACCUUGAAUGAUGUUUGUAAUGAUUUUUUUUUUUUAUUACUUCGGUGUUAUGUUGUUGUUCUAUAUUGUUGGGAAACUAUGUUCCUUCGGCCUAUAUGUGCCUAUGCAGGAAUGGGAUAAAGACAAGCGUUGCAGAUUUGACAAUUUCUGAGAAACUAUUCUCUUCUUUAAUUUUUAUAUCUCUUGAACGACUUGGGUUUGAUGAAUGUUUAUGCUUUAAUGUAGGGAAAGCGGCCGAUACAUGCCUUAACCGCAAGAAUUGGUACCAUUUAAUGCCUAUACUUUGAUGCUGUGCCUAUACGUACCUGAACUCUUUAAAAUGUGUAAAUUCAUUCCCGAACUAGAACUUUUAUGGCCAAAUCAUGCAUUGACUUUUUAUCUGUUAGUCAACUCCGUCAAAAUGUUAACGGGGCUGACUCACUUGCCACGUUGGAAUCUCUGAGAUAUGAUGCUAUGUCGUUUUGUAUAUUUCUGGGGAAAAAAAAAUUUGCAAGCUCAAAGAUUCAAACCCUGCACCAUCCCUACUUGUCCGAGCCCGAAAACCAGUAGACCAGAUGUAGUAAUUAAUAACGUAUCGCACACUUAAACAAUAUAAACUACCCAUAACCAUUAUUUAAAAAAAAAAAUACGACGUCGUAUUGGUUUGGUUAUUCAUCUUUUUUUAAUGAAGAAUCUAUCUUCUUCUUCGUCGAGGUCUGUGUUCAAAUUUGGGGAAAAACUGAGCAAACGGAUCGAAAUCUUCAUUGUCGUCACCAUUAACCGAUUUCUACUCUUAAUUCUUCUUCUGCUGCUUCUCCUUCUUCCUCAUGUCUCCUCGUGAAUCCUCCUGUUAACCCUGUGGCCGAUUUGUUUUUAUUUCACCAGAUCUAAAACAACAAUCGUUUAAUGAAUUCGAUUCAUAGGAGUAUUGAGAAUCGAAAGAGAACCCAGCAAAGUUUAAUUCAAUUGUUUAAAGUU
Molecule: RNA transcript, 1783 nt
Organism: Eutrema salsugineum
Lineage: Eukaryota; Viridiplantae; Streptophyta; Magnoliopsida; Brassicales; Brassicaceae
Exons: 3
Source: RefSeq, a predicted model, not a curated record